Molecule: ribosomal RNA, 1338 nt
Filed under: Nocardia cyriacigeorgica
Lineage: Bacteria; Bacillati; Actinomycetota; Actinomycetes; Mycobacteriales; Nocardiaceae
Description: bacterial SSU rRNA
Rfam family: Bacterial small subunit ribosomal RNA
Source: RNAcentral
UUCGGGGUACACGAGCGGCGAACGGGUGAGUAACACGUGGGUGAUCUGCCUCGCACUCUGGGAUAAGCCUGGGAAACUGGGUCUAAUACCGGAUAUGACCUUACAUCGCAUGGUGUUUGGUGGAAAGAUUUAUCGGUGCGAGAUGGGCCCGCGGCCUAUCAGCUUGUUGGUGGGGUAAUGGCCUACCAAGGCGACGACGGGUAGCCGGCCUGAGAGGGCGACCGGCCACACUGGGACUGAGACACGGCCCAGACUCCUACGGGAGGCAGCAGUGGGGAAUAUUGCACAAUGGGCGAAAGCCUGAUGCAGCGACGCCGCGUGAGGGAUGACGGCCUUCGGGUUGUAAACCUCUUUCGACAGGGACGAAGCGCAAGUGACGGUACCUGUAGAAGAAGCACCGGCCAACUACGUGCCAGCAGCCGCGGUAAUACGUAGGGUGCGAGCGUUGUCCGGAAUUACUGGGCGUAAAGAGCUUGUAGGCGGCUUGUCGCGUCGAUCGUGAAAACUUGGGGCUCAACCCCAAGCUUGCGGUCGAUACGGGCAGGCUUGAGUACUUCAGGGGAGACUGGAAUUCCUGGUGUAGCGGUGAAAUGCGCAGAUAUCAGGAGGAACACCGGUGGCGAAGGCGGGUCUCUGGGAAGUAACUGACGCUGAGAAGCGAAAGCGUGGGUAGCGAACAGGAUUAGAUACCCUGGUAGUCCACGCCGUAAACGGUGGGUACUAGGUGUGGGUUUCCUUCCACGGGAUCCGUGCCGUAGCUAACGCAUUAAGUACCCCGCCUGGGGAGUACGGCCGCAAGGCUAAAACUCAAAGGAAUUGACGGGGGCCCGCACAAGCGGCGGAGCAUGUGGAUUAAUUCGAUGCAACGCGAAGAACCUUACCUGGGUUUGACAUACACCGGAAACCUGCAGAGAUGUAGGCCCCCUUGUGGUCGGUGUACAGGUGGUGCAUGGCUGUCGUCAGCUCGUGUCGUGAGAUGUUGGGUUAAGUCCCGCAACGAGCGCAACCCUUAUCUUAUGUUGCCAGCGCGUAAUGGCGGGGACUCGUGAGAGACUGCCGGGGUCAACUCGGAGGAAGGUGGGGACGACGUCAAGUCAUCAUGCCCCUUAUGUCCAGGGCUUCACACAUGCUACAAUGGCCGGUACAGAGGGCUGCGAUACCGUGAGGUGGAGCGAAUCCCUUAAAGCCGGUCUCAGUUCGGAUCGGGGUCUGCAACUCGACCCCGUGAAGUUGGAGUCGCUAGUAAUCGCAGAUCAGCAACGCUGCGGUGAAUACGUUCCCGGGCCUUGUACACACCGCCCGUCACGUCAUGAAAGUCGGUAACACCCGAAGCCGGUG